CCCCAGGUCAGAUGACCCCGGGGGCCAGCGGCUCCCUGUCGACUUCACCAGAGACAGUAGACAGACGCACACAUCUGAAGAACUGGGGCUCGCCACACACCUCUGAAUCCUGGACAAGCUCGCCAAGGCCCCCACACGCUCCGGCAGGAGUCCAGCCGGGCAGCGCGGCCUCCUCAGAGACGGUCCCCAUGUUGGCUGGGGCUUCUGGCCCUCUUGGCUGGCGGCUUUCACAUUGUCAUCUCGUCACUAUCUGGAUUUUUCUUCUGGGUUUUAUUUUUUAGGGGGUAGAUUUUAUUGUUUCUGAAAAAUCUCUAGAUCCAGGACCGCACUAUGAGCAUUGGGAUUUGGAUUUGUACUUACAGCUGAGCACCUUCUUUGAGGUGCGUUUUUAAAAAUAAAACAGAAAUGCGUUCUUGUACAACCUGCUCCAACUGGACCAAGGCUAUCAGCACAGGACCCCGGUUCCCGCCCCCCAACCUCUGCAUGACGGUCUCAAGGAAGCCUGGAACCCCUCCUCACAGCCCUCUUUUGCCCUGACUUGCUCGGCCCUCUCUUUUAUAUUCCCCAUGUCCGUGUAUAUGUUGCUUGUUUGUUUAUUUAUUGAGAUAUUGUUACAAGCCAAGUGCGCACUCCAUGCCUGUUUGCCCUGCCCCUGCCCAGAGCAAUAAAGACACCCACACUACCCUGGCCUCCGUACCUCUAUUCUCACCCGUGCAUCACAGCCGUAGCUCCAGUCUGGAGAAGCAGAACC
This 751-nucleotide long non-coding RNA is filed under the name Fukomys damarensis (Damara mole-rat). RNAcentral's name for it is "lncRNA (ENSFDAG00000027947.1)". Lineage: Eukaryota; Metazoa; Chordata; Mammalia; Rodentia; Bathyergidae. The record is from RNAcentral.